This 492-nucleotide ribosomal RNA is filed under the name uncultured bacterium. RNAcentral describes it as "partial 16S ribosomal RNA". It matches the Rfam family "Bacterial small subunit ribosomal RNA", at positions 29 to 507 of the family's 1533-position model. The record is from RNAcentral.
AGUGAACGCUGGCGGUAGGCCUAACACAUGCAAGUCGAACGGCAGCACAGUAGGAGCUUGCUCUUACGGGUGGCGAGUGGCGGACGGGUGAGGAAUACAUCGGAAUCUACUGUUUCGGGGGGGAUAACGUAGGGAGACUUACGCUAAUACCGCAUAUGACCUACGGGUGAAAGCAGGGGAGCUUCGGACCUUGGGCGAGUGAAUGAGCCGAUGUCGGAUUAGCUAGUUGGCGGGGUAAAGGCCCACCAAGGCGACGAUCCGUAGCUGGUCUGAGAGGAUGAUCAGCCACACUGGAACUGAGACACGGUCCCGACUCCUACGGGAGGCAGCAGUGGGGAAUAUUGGACAAUGGGCGAAAGCCUGAUCCAGCCAUACCGCGUGAGUGAAGAAGGCCUUCGGGUUGUAAAGCCCUUUUGUUGGGAAAGAAAAGCAGCAGGUUAAUACCCCGCUGUUCUGACGGUACCCAAAGAAUAAGCACCGGCUAACUUCGUG